RNAcentral lists this long non-coding RNA (2664 nucleotides) under Venturia canescens. Its description in RNAcentral is "uncharacterized LOC122407546". The stretch from base 2044 to 2114 matches the Rfam family "mir-10 microRNA precursor family". The record is from RNAcentral. Lineage: Eukaryota; Metazoa; Arthropoda; Insecta; Hymenoptera; Ichneumonidae.
GGCAACACGUACUUUUCACGACCAAUUCCACAGUGAUAUUAGUGAGAAAAAAGACACUCGUUCUAUCGACGAAUCGACGUUAUAUUGAAGCCAUUUUUUUCUAUUUAUUAUUCCAUCGAAAACGCGCGAGCACGUUCUCAGGCAACGGGAAUGAGUUUAACUGCAUCGCCAGUAAUUUUUGAAGCUCCGAAAUCGCGAAUCGGAUUUUUAUACUGAUUAUUCCCACCCUCCCCCUCCCGCCAUCCUUCCUUUUGUCUUAUCGUCGCUCCGCUAUAUCGAAAGGUCGACGAGGAACGUUCGGCCCCCCCAAUUCCUCAAUCCUACGCAAUGGCGACGCCCCGACAAGCUGGUCAGAGGGAGAAAGAGAGCAGCGAGCCUCGAAAAACGACCAACAGUCAGACUUGGACUCUCCCGCACGCAGACUCGAGAAGAUGCGCGCCGACGCGCCAGAAUCCAACGAGCCAACGCACAAACGGUUCUACGGGAUCGCGGCUACUGGGAGUGCUUCGUACACUAGUGUCACACGUCACUCGUCGAGUUAAACAACUUUCGAUAUCAAAGCAUCAUCAUCGUCACAACAACAAUGAUUCUCGCAUAAUCGAUCACGUUAUCGGAGCUUAUCUGCGUUAAGUUUGCUGUCAUAACGAGAGGGAAAUACGAACGAACAUUACCACGGAGAACGAGCUUCGGGAAUCACGUGGAGCAGCUUCCUGGCGCAGGAUGAAUGGCAGUUUCGUGACAACGAGUGAUCUCACAAGUUCCGAGAAGCGCCAUAAAAUGAGAACGAGAGGAAGAGAGAGGUGGAGGGAGAGAUAGGGAGCAAUGUGGUGACGCGGGAAGGACACGGACCUAUAUAUUCGGUAAACUCUGACGUUGGAACGAAGGGAGAAACGAGAUGCCGGCUGGCGAGCAGAUGGUUGUGUCCCCGUUUAUUGGUUUAUUCGUUGGUAUACUGGCGACCGACUGCUUCUAUACAUUCGUGCGUAUGUACGUACAUAGAAUAUGUACAGAUACAGUUUGGCCCGCCCGAAAGCAACGAGACGAGAAGUGAGUCUCUUUGUGUCGACUGACUGGACCUAGUUUAAGGCGAGCCAAGUCCUAUCAUUCAUGAGCCAACUUCAACGGGGGGGACGAGCGCCACGAGUUACAUUUGGACGAUGGUAGAGCAAGAGAAAUGUGGACAGAGCCAGGGAAAAGCGUCAAAAGGUUAUGAGCGCAAAAAUUCUAGCAUGAGGUUGUGCAGGAGCAAGAAAGAGCUGGAGGAGGUUCGAUCGAUGGAAAAGCUCUCGAAAGCGUUCGUUGCCGGAGCUGAGAAAGGCGAGUGAAGGAACAAUUUCGAGGGAGGAAAUUAUAUACCGUAGGGUACCGAUACGAUGACACGUUGACCAAGUAACCUGGAGAGAAUUACAGAGAAGCCGAUGGUGCAUCGUCACGAGGAUCUGAUCGCGAAGCUGUUAAGCGACGCAUGGGAGAACGGAAAGAGUUGUACCGCUAAGAUGAGACGAGAAACUCGACCUUGCUUACGAUUCGGCUGUGUCAUCCUCGAGCCGUUAAUGGAGCGAACGAGAGGAUGCUCGUCUCGGCAGUUCCGAGCACCAACAGUCAAAUCAAUCACGAUGCACACAUCGAUAUCUGAACAUAAAUAUUUAUCUCUGUAUUCGUGUAUGUGUGUGCAUGCAGCACAUAUCGACAGUGCAGGUGUAUGAGCGCAUUACUCUCUCGAUCUUUCUCUUUCUCCCUCAUUGUGCUGGGAUAGCCCCGAGAUCGUGUUUGCACCUCAGGAUCGAAGUCACCGAGGGAAAAUGAAAGUUCUUGCAGCCGAAUGAAAGAGAAAUUUCCCAGUCCACGGAAACGGAAACUCGAUUCGACAAAAAAGAGAAGAGCAUCGAAGAAGAACCCGUUUAACAAUUACUGGGCCAACUGUCAAAUUUGCAUACUUCGUGAGCAAAAAAAGUGAUUCCGGAGAGGAGACGAUAACUGGACGGAAGCAAUGUGUAAACUAAGUAUUAUUAUUAAUGGAAAGAAGAAGGCCCAGUUAAUGCUCUACAUCUACCCUGUAGAUCCGAAUUUGUUUGAAAAUAGGCGACAAAUUCGGUUCUAGAGAGGUUUGUGUGGUGCAUACAGUGCAACGAUGGUCUGAAAAACAUUUUAAAAAGUACGAUCGACGAAAGAAGUGUUCGCAGCACGAAAUAUUUAUAGGAUAAUGAAAUGCAGUUAAAUUUAUGAAAUUUGAGAGUCCACUGAUGGAACGUCGAUUGAAGGAGGUGAUUUUUGCAAAGUUCUACCAACAAUAACAAAGUCCUCAGGAUCUCUGAAUUUCCAGGAACGAAGCAAUCAACGAAAAUGAAUAAAACAUGAUGGAUAAACGACUAAAAAAUCAAAGACGAUCAUUUUUCAAAAUUUCGAACGAUUCUACCGAUGAUGUUGUCAUUGACGAAUGUGACAUCAGCGCCGAGUCACGAUCGAUUACGCGAAUCUAUGUACAAACGUUAAUGACGUUUGUUGCACAUGCGUUUUAAAGCGCAUAUUCAUGUACAGGUAGACGCAGAAAUGGAAUAUCUGCAAAACUGGCAGAAAGAAAAAUUUCUUUUCCUCGAUCAAUGCUAAUAAAUAAUUGAUAAUGUGAAAAUGAGAAAAAAAAAUAAAUAAAUAAAAAAAAAAAAA